CCCUGUCACGUGGAGGCCGUAAUAGUAACGAGUGAGUAAUUGGGCAAAGCGAAGGUUUCGCUCGACGCGUUUCUGAGGCGAUUGUGGAGAAGGGAGGGCAAGGAAAGAAGAAGAAGAAAAAAGAAGGAAAUAAUAGCGAGUCGGUGUGCGGAAUUGUUACAUGAUGAACAUUAUAUAGAAAUGUACGAAGUUCGAAAGUAAGAGGGGGGCAAUGUGAACGUGGUACUACUAGAAGUUGAACUGAAAUCUCAUUCUGAGAGAAAAAAUUGACAACUGACAACAACACAAAAGUCGACAGAAGCGAAGGCUCCUGUGUGCACAACAGGGCUGGACCAAGCAGAGGACACCCCCGUCCACGCCAGUUGGAGGGGCUGUGGAAGAGCCGUCACCUGUGGAACUCGACAUCUUCAGGCAGGUCACAGGGUCACGUGGGCCUGAAUUCAGCAGGGGUCCAAGGUACAAGAAGGACAAAUGACAGGGCUGCGAGGCGGCCAAAUCCACACAUUCUUCACUGUUAUACAGAUCAUUAGGAGUAAAUGUUGCUGUAGCUGGAGAACAACUCACUGCAAAGUUCUGGAGGAGCCGUAGCACAAAGGCACAGGAGCCCAUUACCUGGCAAGCAUAAGGUUGGCGCUGGGGUUGUUGGUUCCAGGCCCUGUAGGGCUCCACUU
Long non-coding RNA from Scleropages formosus (Asian bonytongue), 671 nucleotides. RefSeq lists it as uncharacterized. The record is from RefSeq and is a predicted model, not a curated record. The transcript is spliced from 5 exons. NCBI's taxonomy places the organism in Eukaryota, Metazoa, Chordata, Actinopteri, Osteoglossiformes, Osteoglossidae.